CAACCUGCCCACCACUUGGGGAUAACCUUGCGAAAGUAAGACUAAUACCCAAUGAUAUCUCUNNNNGACAUCUGAAAGAGAUUAAAGAUUUAUCGGUGAUGGAUGGGGAUGCGUCUGAUUAGCUUGUUGGCGGGGUAACGGCCCACCAAGGCGACGAUCAGUAGGGGUUCUGAGAGGAAGGUCCCCCACAUUGGAACUGAGACACGGUCCAAACUCCUACGGGAGGCAGCAGUGAGGAAUAUUGGUCAAUGGACGAGAGUCUGAACCAGCCAAGUAGCGUGCAGGAUGACGGCCCUAUGGGUUGUAAACUGCUUUUAUAAGGGAAUAAAGUGAGUCUCGUGAGACUUUUUGCAUGUACCUUAUGAAUAAGGACCGGCUAAUUCCGUGCCAGCAGCCGCGGUAAUACGGAAGGUCCGGGCGUUAUCCGGAUUUAUUGGGUUUAAAGGGAGCGUAGGCCGGAGAUUAAGCGUGUUGUGAAAUGUAGAUGCUCAACAUCUGCACUGCAGCGCGAACUGGUUUCCUUGAGUACGCACAAAGUGGGCGGAAUUCGUGGUGUAGCGGUGAAAUGCUUAGAUAUCACGAAGAACUCCGAUUG
RNAcentral lists this ribosomal RNA (595 nucleotides) under uncultured Bacteroidota bacterium. Its description in RNAcentral is "bacterial SSU rRNA". It matches the Rfam family "Bacterial small subunit ribosomal RNA", at positions 122 to 715 of the family's 1533-position model. Lineage: Bacteria; Pseudomonadati; Bacteroidota. The record is from RNAcentral.